AUGAACGCUGGCGGCGUGCCUAAUACAUGCAAGUCGAGCGAACAGACGAGGAGCUUGCUCCUCUGACGUUAGCGGCGGACGGGUGAGUAACACGUGGAUAACCUACCUAUAAGACUGGGAUAACUUCGGGAAACCGGAGCUAAUACCGGAUAAUAUAUUGAACCGCAUGGUUCAAUAGUGAAAGACGGUUUUGCUGUCACUUAUAGAUGGAUCCGCGCCGCAUUAGCUAGUUGGUAAGGUAACGGCUUACCAAGGCAACGAUGCGUAGCCGACCUGAGAGGGUGAUCGGACACACUGGAACUGAGAAACGGUACAGACUCCUACGGGAGGCAGCAGUAGGGAAUCUUCCGAAAUGGGCGAAAGCUUGACGGAGCAACGCCGCGUGAGUGAUGAAGGUCUUCGGAUCGUAAAACUCUGUUAUUAGGGAAGAACAAAUGUGUAAGUAACUAUGCACGUCUUGACGGUACCUAAUCAGAAAGCCACGGCUAACUACGUG
Molecule: ribosomal RNA, 496 nt
Filed under: uncultured bacterium
Lineage: Bacteria
Description: partial 16S ribosomal RNA
Rfam family: Bacterial small subunit ribosomal RNA
Source: RNAcentral